GACAGACUUCGUCCUGUCAAAAAGAUUUGUAAUGUGGCAGUUUUUGUGCCUACGUAUUUUAAAAAAUUCUCCUGAACAGAACCGUCACCCUGGUGAUAGGGCGUUGUGAAUAAAAAAUAAUUAAUUAAAACAUAUAUAAGGAUUUAAAAGUAAGUAAUCGCUUUAUUGUUAAUCAUGUGAAUCAUAAUUAUUAUUAUUAUCAUUGUAGUGCUUUGUGGUAUACGAUGUUUUUUGUUUGAUUACCUGGCGCAUAGAUAAACAAAUCUGAUGGUUUUCCAACACGGGAACAGGCAACAUACAAUUGACCAUGUGAGAAACAUGGGUUUUCUAGAUUAAUACCACAAACACUUAAUGAUUGCCCCUGGGACUUGUUUAUAGUCAUAGCAAAAGCAAGCCGCACUGGAAACUGUAGUCGUUUAAACUCAAAUGGCACAUCAGUCGGAAUCAUUGGGAUGCGCGCCAGUAUAGCUCGUUCGCUCAACCAAUCAUGGUUUCUGUAAUUUUGAGAAACAUCUGGAAACACCUUCUGAAUAAGUUCAUCUUUUGAUCGA
Molecule: long non-coding RNA, 551 nt
Organism: Maniola jurtina (meadow brown)
Lineage: Eukaryota; Metazoa; Arthropoda; Insecta; Lepidoptera; Nymphalidae
Exons: 2
Source: RefSeq, a predicted model, not a curated record